GGAAACGGCACUCCUCAUCUGUUUCUGGGUGAGCAAAGACCACGCUAACUUCAAACAAACUCUUUCCAUCAGUGGGAACACCCAACUCCUCUGACAACUGGGGAUGAAUAAUCCACUUAUAAGCUUCUUUCAGCUGAACAAUGUCAUCCUUUGCCAAGGAAAGGUCCAGUUUUCCCAUUUCCUGUUUUACCAGCAGCCAAGCAGCAUGCUCCCUAACAGACAGCUGUGGUGGUAGUGACACAGAAAAUACGAAACUGGUGAACUGAAAGUCAG
This 273-nucleotide long non-coding RNA is filed under the name Gallus gallus (chicken). Lineage: Eukaryota; Metazoa; Chordata; Aves; Galliformes; Phasianidae. The record is from RNAcentral.